AAACUUUCAACAACGGAUCUCUUGGUUCCCGCAUCGAUGAAGAACGCAGCGAAAUGCGAUAAGUAAUGUGAAUUGCAGAAUUCAGUGAAUCAUCGAAUCUUUGAACGCACAUUGCGCCCCUUGGUAUUCCGAGGGGCAUGCCUGUUCGAGCGUCAUUGU
This 159-nucleotide ribosomal RNA is filed under the name Trichoglossum hirsutum. RNAcentral's name for it is "5.8S ribosomal RNA". It matches the Rfam family "5.8S ribosomal RNA". From Rfam's summary of the family: 5.8S ribosomal RNA (5.8S rRNA) is a component of the large subunit of the eukaryotic ribosome. Lineage: Eukaryota; Fungi; Ascomycota; Geoglossomycetes; Geoglossales; Geoglossaceae. The record is from RNAcentral.